This 117-nucleotide ribosomal RNA is filed under the name Clostridiales bacterium. The record is from RNAcentral. Lineage: Bacteria; Bacillati; Bacillota; Clostridia; Eubacteriales.
GUCGGUGUUGAUGGCAGUGAGGGUCCACCCGUUCCCAUCCCGAACACGGUAGUUAAGCUCACUUACGCCGAAGAUACUUGGCGGGAAGCUGCCCGGAAAAAUAGGACGAUGCCGACA